Molecule: ribosomal RNA, 556 nt
Filed under: Hanseniaspora uvarum
Lineage: Eukaryota; Fungi; Ascomycota; Saccharomycetes; Saccharomycodales; Saccharomycodaceae
Description: eukaryotic LSU rRNA
Rfam family: Eukaryotic large subunit ribosomal RNA
Source: RNAcentral
UGCGGAGGAAAAGAAACCAACUGGGAUUACCUUAGUAACGGCGAGUGAAGCGGUAAAAGCUCAAAUUUGAAAUCUGGUACUUUCAGUGCCCGAGUUGUAAUUUGUAGAAUUUGUCUUUGAUUAGGUCCUUGUCUAUGUUCCUUGGAACAGGACGUCAUAGAGGGUGAGAAUCCCGUUUGGCGAGGAUACCUUUUCUCUGUAAGACUUUUUCGAAGAGUCGAGUUGUUUGGGAAUGCAGCUCAAAGUGGGUGGUAAAUUCCAUCUAAAGCUAAAUAUUGGCGAGAGACCGAUAGCGAACAAGUACAGUGAUGGAAAGAUGAAAAGAACUUUGAAAAGAGAGUGAAAAAGUACGUGAAAUUGUUGAAAGGGAAGGGCAUUUGAUCAGACAUGGUGUUUUUUGCAUGCACUCGCCUCUCGUGGGCUUGGGCCUCUCAAAAAUUUCACUGGGCCAACAUCAAUUCUGGCAGCAGGAUAAAUCAUUAAGAAUGUAGCUACUUCGGUAGUGUUAUAGCUUUUUGGAAUACUGUUAGCCGGGAUUGAGGACUGCGCUCGGCAA